Molecule: ribosomal RNA, 253 nt
Filed under: uncultured bacterium
Lineage: Bacteria
Description: partial 16S ribosomal RNA
Rfam family: Bacterial small subunit ribosomal RNA
Source: RNAcentral
UACGUAGGGGGCUAGCGUUGUCCGGAAUCAUUGGGCGUAAAGCGCGUGUAGGCGGUUCGGUAAGUCCGCUGUGAAAGUCGGGGGCUCAACCCUCGGAUGCCGGUGGAUACUGUCGGACUAGAGUGCGGAAGAGGCGAGUGGAAUUCCUGGUGUAGCGGUGAAAUGCGUAGAGAUGUGGAGGAACACCGAUGGCGAAGGCAGCCCCCUGGGCUAACACUGACGCUCAUGCACGAAAGCGUGGGGAGCAAACAGG